GGUUGUGGCUUAGUGGUGAGAGUGCUUGCCUAGCAUGUGUGAGGCACUGGGUUCAAACCUCAGCACCA
This 68-nucleotide transfer RNA is filed under the name Marmota monax (woodchuck). RNAcentral describes it as "tRNA.Ala". The record is from RNAcentral. Lineage: Eukaryota; Metazoa; Chordata; Mammalia; Rodentia; Sciuridae.